ACCGGGUGCAGUGUCGCACACCUGUAAUCCCAGCAGCUCAGGAGGCUGAGACAGGAGGAUCACGAGUUCAAAGAAAGCCUCAGCAAUUUAGCAAGGCCCUUAGCAACUCAGUGAGACCCUGUCUCUA
Molecule: small RNA, 127 nt
Filed under: Marmota monax (woodchuck)
Lineage: Eukaryota; Metazoa; Chordata; Mammalia; Rodentia; Sciuridae
Source: RNAcentral